RNAcentral lists this long non-coding RNA (364 nucleotides) under Polistes fuscatus (common paper wasp). RNAcentral's name for it is "uncharacterized LOC122524793". The record is from RNAcentral. Lineage: Eukaryota; Metazoa; Arthropoda; Insecta; Hymenoptera; Vespidae.
GGAUGAUGCAUCGAACGAUUGAAUCGAUCGUCAUCGUUGACCGGAAUCACGUACCAGGACAAAUCGAAUUCGAAGCUGGUUAACUCGUUCUCAUUGUCUUAGUCGGUAGUCGUUAAAAGUCGACCUAGUUACGCGAAUACUCCUUCAUAAUUCAUAACGUACGGUGAGAAAGGUUCGGUAGACUAACAUGUUUCGGAAGAUGAAAAAAAAAGGAAAAAAAGAUACCGAAGAUAGAACGAAACCUAUAAAAAGAAGAUAAAAAAAUGUCCGAGAAACCAUUAAAUGGUGUCAUCGAGCUGAGCUGACGCGACGUGAUCGACCUGACGUUGUCCAGUACGAAAAAUUCGUAUGCUCGUUGAGUACA